CUCCAGACUCCUACGGGAGGCAGCAGUGAGGAAUAUUGGUCAAUGGCCGGAAGGCUGAACCAGCCAAGUCGCGUGAGGGACGACUGCCCUAUGGGUUGUAAACCUCUUUUAUAAGGGAAGAAUAAAUGCUACGUGUAGCAUGAUGCCUGUACCUUAUGAAUAAGCAUCGGCUAACUCCGUGCCAGCAGCCGCGGUAAUACGGAGGAUGUGAGCGUUAUCCGGAUUUAUUGGGUUUAAAGGGUGCGUAGGCGGGCUUUUAAGUCAGCGGUAAAAAUUCGGGGCUCAACCCCGUCCGGCCGUUGAAACUGGGGAUCUUGAGUGGGCGAGAAGUAUGCGGAAUGCGUGGUGUAGCGGUGAAAUGCAUAGAUAUCACGCAGAACUCCGAUUGCGAAGGCAGCAUACCGGCGCCCGACUGACGCUGAGGCACGAAAGCGUGGGGAUCGAACAGGAUUAGAUACCCUUGUAGUU
RNAcentral lists this ribosomal RNA (468 nucleotides) under uncultured bacterium. Its description in RNAcentral is "partial 16S ribosomal RNA". It matches the Rfam family "Bacterial small subunit ribosomal RNA", at positions 329 to 795 of the family's 1533-position model. The record is from RNAcentral.